RNAcentral lists this ribosomal RNA (249 nucleotides) under uncultured prokaryote. RNAcentral's name for it is "partial 16S rRNA". It matches the Rfam family "Bacterial small subunit ribosomal RNA", at positions 525 to 775 of the family's 1533-position model. The record is from RNAcentral.
ACGUAGGUGGCAAGCGUUGUCCGGAAUUAUUGGGCGUAAAGCGCGCGCAGGUGGUUAUAUAAGUCUGAUUUUAAAGUUCGGGGCUCAACCCCGUGAUGGAUUGGAAACUGUAUGACUUGAGUACAGUAGAGGUAAGCGGAAUUCCCAGUGUGGCGGUGAAAUGCGUAGAUAUUGGGGGGACACCCAGGGGGGAGGCGGCUUUCCUGGCUGUAACUGACACUGAGGCGCGAAAGCUAGGGGAGCAAACGG